This 822-nucleotide long non-coding RNA is filed under the name Homo sapiens (human). RNAcentral's name for it is "non-protein coding lnc-ANKH-2:1". The record is from RNAcentral. Lineage: Eukaryota; Metazoa; Chordata; Mammalia; Primates; Hominidae.
ACACUGGAUGUUUCAGUGGACACAACCAGCCUUCAAGAAGCAUGUGGACCUAGAGAAAGCUCUGCCACCUACAUGCCAGCGCAUGUUCAUGCUGAGAACUGCAGGGAAAAAAGAAAUGGCUUAUAUUGACUGACUACCAUCAAUGUGCCAGAGAGGUCUUCUUAUCUCAUCUUAGAGGUGAGAGAACAAGUCAACCCGCUGGUAAAUGGGCCAAUCAGAAAUGAAAUCAGCUCAUCACCAGUUCCAGUCACUUUUCCAUUUUGAAAAGCCUCCUGCAUCAUUCUCUGCACAUAUGCAGCAGAUAUAGACACCCAAGCACACCCCUAAGGAGACAGCCCACUUGGACUCAAGGACAUUCCCUGUGGCAGCUCUCUGAAGACAGAAUUAUUUCUUUGGCAGAGAAAAGCAUGCUGUUCCUUAAGAGGACAUUAGAGGAGAACAACUUUUCUCCCUACUGAACCCUUUGCACAAAUAUCUUCUAGAAGGACUUGUUCCUCACCCACUGGCCCUUGAUUCUGUCUCACUAUUGAAUGAGGCUUUUCCACCAAACAGCUUUAAGGAUGGAUGUGUGCUCUGGAGAGAGCAAGAAACAUGUGAGAGCCGGUUUGCUUUCUGUGGGUCAGCCAACGUCUCCGCCAGUCCUAUGACUGUCAUUUCACUGAGGAUUGAUAUGCCUGAAGUCACUACAAAAACAAAUGAUGCUCUGAAGCUCAUUCCGCCCUUGCACAAAGAAGCCAAAAAAAUAGGGCUCUAAUUUAUUUUAGAAUUGGCAUAAUGAGACAAAAGAGUCCACUGUGGGAAAUUUUUGCUUAUGCAAUGAAA